AGUCCCAGGCUACUUGUAGCCGGGCAUUCGCCUUCUUUCCAUUUCUCACCUCCCGAUUGCGUUUCGCACCCUUGGUGCGAAUAUCGCCAGCGCCCUUUCUUUGUCACUGUCCCGCCGUUCAGGCAGCGCUUCCCCGACCCCGUGGUCCCCUUGUUCUUUAGCCUUCUACCCUCUUAUCCUCAAGGCUUUCUCUUAUUUUGCCCUUUCCCUGAUACUUUUUUCUUUACCCAUCUUCUGUGCUUAAUUUCAUCCCCUUCUUUUUUGGCCCCUCUUCUCCUUCCUACUCUGGCCUUUAGUCCAGUUCACCCUGCCCUUCUCUCAGCCCCUUCCUCGGAGAUCCUUUUCUUCCAAUCUUUCCUUCUCCCCGUCUCCUCCCUCCUUCCCCUUGCAUUCCCUCUUUUCCCCUCCCCCACCCUCAUCUUUUCUUGCCUCCCUCCCCUUCCCCCACCCCUUGUCUUAAAGCAGCUGGAGAUGAGCGCCGAGGAGCUGGGUCUAGAAGACAAAACAAAACAAAAAAAAAGACUUUGCGGAACGGUCUGCCUGAAGGCUUCGGGAAGGGGACAAAGAGAACAGGCCGGGGUAGUUAUUUGUAUAAAAAGUGGGAUAUGGCGUUUUUAACGUUUGGGGGACGUCCGCAGCUUCCGCAGGGGCAGAAGGUAAGGCGCUUGUGCUCGCUAUGGCGCCGGCAGCACCAAGGACAGCGCCCAGGUCGGCGAGUGGGAGGUGCAGCCACCCGGGGGGCUUGUCACCCAGCCUGGCCUGUCAGGUUGGCAGGGGGCAGGGGGUUCCCUUCCCCCUCUUCUCUCCGAGUAAAUACAAUUUAAACCUGCCUGUAGUGACUAUCUUUGCAGGAGCGAAGCUGGAAUCACAGGCUAAGACUUCCCUGCAAUGCAGGGUUGGCACAAUGGACAGAUCGCAGAUUUUGAAAACAACCAAAAUUCAUUAAAGUCAGUUAACAGAAAUAUAUACUUGUAGCCCAGUUUGAGUUUUCUAACAUAUGGUGGUAUAGGAAAUGAAGAGAUACAGGGCCUGAAAUGUGAAGGUCAAAUACUCCUUGGAAAGGAGAAUUUGAAAUCUGUUGGGAUGAAAAGUCCAGGGAAAUAUAGUUUUUCUUAAGUUUGGACACAGACAAUUGCCUUGUCAUCUUUCGGUUCAGUAUUCCCUAUGUGUAACUGCAAUGAUUGAAAAGGCAUCUGAAUUAACUUUAAAUUGAUUUAAAAGUUGCGGAACAGAGUCACCACAACCUUGAAUAAAAUCAGAUGUUUUCCCUUCAUUUAAAAUGUAAUAUAUUUUUCGCUUUAGAUUUUAAUGAUUGAUUUGGAAUAGAUUUUCUAUAUCAUUAAACAUGUUUAUGCAAACA
This 1360-nucleotide long non-coding RNA is filed under the name Homo sapiens (human). RNAcentral describes it as "HSALNT0345758". The record is from RNAcentral. Lineage: Eukaryota; Metazoa; Chordata; Mammalia; Primates; Hominidae.